This 400-nucleotide ribosomal RNA is filed under the name uncultured bacterium. RNAcentral describes it as "bacterial SSU rRNA". It matches the Rfam family "Bacterial small subunit ribosomal RNA", at positions 29 to 415 of the family's 1533-position model. The record is from RNAcentral.
AACGAACGCUGGCGGCGUGGAUAAGACAUGCAAGUCGAACGGGAUUAUUUUUGUAGCAAUACAGAGAUAAUUCAGUGGCGAACGGGUGCGUAACACGUGGGCAAUCUGCCGAAAAGUGGGGGAUAGCUCGCCGAAAGGCGAAUUAAUACCGCAUGUGGUGAGGGACGACAUCUUCCUGAAUCCAAAGCCGGGGUAACCUGGCGCUUUUUGAGGAGCCCGCGGCCUAUCAGCUAGUUGGUGAGGUAACGGCUCACCAAGGCUAUGACGGGUAGCUGGUCUGAGAGGACGACCAGUCACACUGGAACUGAGACACGGUCCAGACACCUACGGGUGGCAGCAGUCGAGAAUUUUUCUCAAUGGGGAAACCCUGAAGGAGCGACGCCGCGUGGAGGAUGAAGGC